CCAGAUGUGAACAAGAAGUACCAUUUGCAGUGCAAUUUUUGUGACAAGCUAUUGAAAGGUGGAAUUACUAGAGUGAAGUACCAUCUUGCUUGCAUUACUGGCUUCAAUGCUGUUAAAUGUAAGAAGGUUCCAACUGAUGUGAAGGAAGAGAUUAUUGCUUUUCUUACGAAGAAGAGUGGUGACAAGCAAAAGAAGAAGGAUCAAGUGCAAAGGGUUCGAUCUGCAAUUAAUAUAGAGAACUCAGAUGAUGAAAGGGGUAGUGGGGAUGAUUCUGACUUUGAGAGGAAUGAUGUUGUGUUGCUGAAGUCAAUAAGAGGCAGUGGGACGAGUAAUUCUGGAGCUGUGGUAGGUAGUGGCAGUGCCACUAUUGAUAAGUUUUACAAGAAAACAUCUAUAGAAGAGUCUGUUCGCAAUAAUCAAAGGGGAUUCAACGUUAGCCAGAAGGUCCAAUCGAAGUUGUCAACUAUGAAAAGAGAAGUGAAAAGGGACAGAGUUUGUGAGUAUAUUUGUCAGUUUUUCUAUGAAGCUAGCAUUCCUCACAACACUGUCACCCUCCCUAGCUUUGCUCAUAUGCUUGAGUCCAUCGGACAGUUUGGCAAGGACAUGAGAGGGCCUAGUCCAUAUGAGAUGAGUGGACCAUUUUUGCAGAAGAGGAAACAGAAGGUGCUGGAUGGAUUCAAGAAUCAUAAGGAAUCAUGGGACCUCACAUGUUGCACGGUUAGGACUGAUGCAUGGACAAAUAAGAAGGGCGGGGUAGUUAUGAAUUUAGUUAUGUGUAACAUCCCAAAUUUUCAAUUUGGUAUGUUAUACAUAGAUCAUCAUUGCAUAUCAUAUUUUAUUGCAUUUUGGCAAAUCCUCGGUAAAUCCUAA
This 870-nucleotide ribosomal RNA is filed under the name Triticum aestivum (bread wheat). RNAcentral's name for it is "partial small subunit ribosomal RNA". Lineage: Eukaryota; Viridiplantae; Streptophyta; Magnoliopsida; Poales; Poaceae. The record is from RNAcentral.